Molecule: small nuclear RNA, 106 nt
Filed under: Aedes aegypti (yellow fever mosquito)
Lineage: Eukaryota; Metazoa; Arthropoda; Insecta; Diptera; Culicidae
Description: snRNA AAEL028988
Rfam family: U1 spliceosomal RNA
About the family: U1 is a small nuclear RNA (snRNA) component of the spliceosome (involved in pre-mRNA splicing).
Source: RNAcentral
AUAUUGCUGGCAUAGGGGUUACCAUGAUCACUAAGGCGGUUCCCCCAGGGCGAGGCCCUUCCAUUGCACUUCGGUUGGGUUGACUAGGGGACGGACCUGGUGUAGU